GUUGUCGAACAAGUCGUAUAGU
This 22-nucleotide microRNA is filed under the name Parasteatoda tepidariorum (common house spider). RNAcentral describes it as "pte-miR-11948-3p". The record is from miRBase by way of RNAcentral. Lineage: Eukaryota; Metazoa; Arthropoda; Arachnida; Araneae; Theridiidae.